This 253-nucleotide ribosomal RNA is filed under the name uncultured bacterium. RNAcentral's name for it is "partial 16S ribosomal RNA". It matches the Rfam family "Bacterial small subunit ribosomal RNA", at positions 524 to 776 of the family's 1533-position model. The record is from RNAcentral.
UACAGAGGGGGCAAGCGUUGUUCGGAAUUACUGGGCGUAAAGGGCGCGUAGGCGGCCUGCUAAGUCGAACGUGAAAUCCCUGGGCUCAACCCAGGAACUGCGUCCGAUACUGGUUGGCUUGAGUCCGGGAGAGGGAUGUGGAAUUCCAGGUGUAGCGGUGAAAUGCGUAGAUAUCUGGAGGAACACCUAUGGCGAAGGCAGCUCGCUGGGACGUUACUGACGCUGAGACGCGAAAGCGUGGGGAGCAAACAGG